Molecule: ribosomal RNA, 301 nt
Filed under: uncultured bacterium
Lineage: Bacteria
Description: partial 16S ribosomal RNA
Rfam family: Bacterial small subunit ribosomal RNA
Source: RNAcentral
CAGCAGCCGCGGGAAUACGGAGGGUGCAAGCGUUAAUCGGAAUUACUGGGCGUAAAGCGUGCGUAGGUGGUGGUUUAAGUCCGUUGUGAAAGCCCUGGGCUCAACCUGGGAAUUGCAGUGGAUACUGGGUCACUAGAGUGUGGUAGAGGAUAGUGGAAUUUCCGGUGUAGCAGUGAAAUGCGUAGAGAUCGGAAGGAACAUCUGUGGCGAAGGCGACUAUCUGGGCCAACACUGACACUGAGGCACGAAAGCGUGGGGAGCAAACAGGAUUAGAUACCCGAGUAGUCCCUGUCUCUUAUAC